GGGGAUAAUUGAGUUGUCACCAGCAAGAGCACAUAUCGACCUGGUGGCUUGCUACUUCGAUGUCGUCUCUUCCCAACCUCCCGGUGCAGCAGCUGGGAAGGGUGGGGUUGUUCGCCCAUUAAAGGGGAUCGUGAGAUGGGUUUAGACCGUCGUGAGACAGGUUUGUUGCUUUGUGGUUGAGGCGUAUCAGGUGCCUGAUCGGAAGGGCCCUUUAGUACGAGAGGAACGAGGGCUCGGAGCCACUAGUUUACCAGUUGUCUGACAAGGCAAUGCUGGGUAGCCACGCUCCAUGCGGAUAAGAGCUGAAAGCAUCUAAGCUCGAAGUCGCCCGAAAGACGAGGCACCUCAGGGGACUCGUAAAAGACGAGAUUGAUAGACAGCGGGUGUAAGCACCGAGGUUUCGACCGAGGUGUUCAGCCCAGCUGCACUAAUCCCCCGAG
Molecule: ribosomal RNA, 440 nt
Filed under: Candidatus Poseidoniales archaeon
Lineage: Archaea; Methanobacteriati; Thermoplasmatota; Candidatus Poseidoniia; Candidatus Poseidoniales
Description: Marine Group II euryarchaeote (marine metagenome) partial 23S ribosomal RNA
Rfam family: Archaeal large subunit ribosomal RNA
Source: RNAcentral